RNAcentral lists this ribosomal RNA (253 nucleotides) under uncultured bacterium. RNAcentral's name for it is "partial 16S ribosomal RNA". It matches the Rfam family "Bacterial small subunit ribosomal RNA", at positions 524 to 776 of the family's 1533-position model. The record is from RNAcentral.
GACAGAGGGUGCAAACGUUGUUCGGAAUUACUGGGCGUAAAGCGCGUGUAGGCGGCCCUGCAAGUCGGAUGUGAAAUCCCACGGCUCAACCGUGGAAGUGCAUUCGAAACUGCAGGGCUAGAGUCCUGGAGAGGAAGGUGGAAUGCUUGGUGUAGAGGUGAAAUUCGUAGAUAUCAAGCGGAACACCGGUGGCGAAGGCGGCCUUCUGGACAGUGACUGACGCUGAGACGCGAAAGCUAGGGGAGCGAACGGG